UCGAGGAUUUUUUGCAAUGGGCGAAAGCCUGACAAAGCGACGCCGUGUGAAUGAAGAAGGCCUUCGGGUUGUAAAGUUCUUUCGCUUGGGAACAAGAGAAUUAGGUUAACAAUCUAAUGAUUUGAGAGUACUAGGUAAAGGAGCACCGGCUAACUCCGUGCCAGCAGCUGCGGUAAUACGGAGGGUGCAAGCAUUAAUCGGAAUUACUGGGCGUAAAGGGCGCGUAGGCGUUUAAGAAAGUUGCAUGUGAAAUAUCAUAGCUUAACUAUGGUGCGGCAUGCAAAACUUCUUGAAUAAGAGGAUAAGUGGGGAAAAGGGAAUUCCACGUGUAGCGGUGAAAUGCGUAGAUAUGUGGAGGAACACCAGAGGCGAAGGCGCUUUUCUAACUUAUACCUGACGCUGAGGCGCGAAAGCAAGGGGAGCAAACAGG
This 430-nucleotide ribosomal RNA is filed under the name uncultured bacterium. RNAcentral describes it as "bacterial SSU rRNA". It matches the Rfam family "Bacterial small subunit ribosomal RNA", at positions 355 to 776 of the family's 1533-position model. The record is from RNAcentral.